RNAcentral lists this transfer RNA (23 nucleotides) under Plerandra vitiensis. RNAcentral's name for it is "partial tRNA-His". The record is from RNAcentral. Lineage: Eukaryota; Viridiplantae; Streptophyta; Magnoliopsida; Apiales; Araliaceae.
AAGAGUAGUGAUAGUAGGGGGGC